CUUACAGCCCUGAAGACUGAAGUCCUCUGAUUAUCCAUAGCAAAGAUACAGCAUAAGCAGCAUCAGUGCAAGUUUACCCACACCAUUACACUUACGUGCCUUAAGACUAAUUGAGAGGAACCACUUUUAGAAAUGUAGUUUGUUGUCCAUAAAGAAAGCUGCU
This 163-nucleotide small RNA is filed under the name Gopherus agassizii (Agassiz's desert tortoise). Its description in RNAcentral is "TUC338 (ENSGAGG00000016062.1)". The record is from RNAcentral. Lineage: Eukaryota; Metazoa; Chordata; Testudines; Testudinidae.